AAGUCACUAUUAAAUAAGGUAAUUAAUGUGUUUGGAAACAUCAAAUGAAGCAUUGACAUGUGCUUCAUUAAGGCUUAGUUAAUGCUUAUUGUGUUUGAACAGGUUACACAUGCUGUUAACAACGAAUGAAAUGUUAAGUCCGUUGUAAAUCCUUUACAAAUCAUAAUUUAACUAUUAAC
Long non-coding RNA from Salarias fasciatus (jewelled blenny), 179 nucleotides. RefSeq lists it as uncharacterized. The record is from RefSeq and is a predicted model, not a curated record. Lineage: Eukaryota; Metazoa; Chordata; Actinopteri; Blenniiformes; Blenniidae. The transcript is spliced from 3 exons.